Molecule: ribosomal RNA, 424 nt
Filed under: uncultured bacterium
Lineage: Bacteria
Description: bacterial SSU rRNA
Rfam family: Bacterial small subunit ribosomal RNA
Source: RNAcentral
UAAGGAAUAUUGGACAAUGGUCGCAAGACUGAUCCAGCCAUGCCGCGUGCAGGAUGAAUGCCCUAUGGGUUGUAAACUGCUUUUGUAUGGGAAUAAACCCUUCUACGUGUAGAAGGCUGAAUGUACCAUAAGAAUAAGGGUCGGCUAACUUCGUGCCAGCAGCCGCGGUAAGACGAAGGACCCAAGCGUUAUCCGGAUUCAUUGGGUUUAAAGGGUGCGUAGGCGGGUUGAUAAGUCAGUGGUGAAAGCCCAACGCUUAACGUUGGAACUGCCAUUGAUACUGUCGAUCUUGAAUGUGUUUGAUGUGGGCGGAAUAUGACAUGUAGCGGUGAAAUGCUUAGAUAUGUCAUAGAACACCGAUUGCGAAGGCAGCUCACAAAGCCACUAUUGACGCUGAGGCACGAAAGCGUGGGGAUCAAACAGG